AGCUAACCUUAGUUCCUCUCACUCUGUCUAAUCUGAUUGUGAGACUUCAGUUACCAGCAAAAAUCUAAGCAAAAUUCUUCCUGCUCACUGCUUCUUGGGGCUCUCCUGUGCACUCCUUCCACUGAGCAUUCUGAUCUUUAGACUCAGGCGAAAAUACUGCUCUCCUGGGACCAGCACUGUGUCAUAGUGGGUGAAGCUGCUGCCUGCAGUGCUGGCAUCCCAUAUGGGCUCCGGUUUGAGUCCCGGCUGCUCCAGUUCCGAUCCAGCUCUCUGCUAUGGCCUGGGAAAGCAGAAGACAGCCCAAGUCCUUGGGCCCCUGCACCCACUUGGGAGACCCGGAAGAAGCUCCUGGCUCCUGACUAGGGAUCAGCACAGCUCCAGCCAUUGCGGCUAAUUGGGGAGUGAACCAGAGGAUGGAAGACCUGUCUCUCUCUCCUCCUCUCCUUCUCUAACUCUGACUUUCAAGUAAAUAAAUAAAUCUUAAAAAGCAAA
Molecule: long non-coding RNA, 492 nt
Organism: Oryctolagus cuniculus (rabbit)
Lineage: Eukaryota; Metazoa; Chordata; Mammalia; Lagomorpha; Leporidae
Source: RefSeq, a predicted model, not a curated record